Molecule: small RNA, 655 nt
Filed under: Crypthecodinium sp. ShSu-2013
Lineage: Eukaryota; Dinophyceae; Gonyaulacales; Crypthecodiniaceae
Description: eukaryotic LSU rRNA
Rfam family: 5.8S ribosomal RNA (bases 322-475)
Source: RNAcentral
GCGGAAGGAUCAUUUACACUAAUUGUGAUUUAUCACAAAUCCAUUCAUCAAUGCAAUCAUUGUGAAGUUGUCUUCGGAUAACUUCGAACUUCUUAUUCUCUCUUUGCUUCAUGUUCGGCAUCUUCUACUUCGGUGUUGAUGGUGUUCAUGUUGACUUUCUUGGGUUGGGCAUCUCCUUCUUUCGGGAUUGAGGUGUUCAGCCCAUUUUUUUUACCCUGGGGUGAAGUGCUUUCGGGUACAUCACUCAGCUUCCACUUUGACUGGAUUCUGUGCGACAGUGUUUGAAUGUUGUCUUUUGUGGACUUCAUGUACUCAAAUUACAACUUUCAGCACUUGAUUCCUUGGUUCAGACCUCGAUGAAGGGCACUGCGAAAUGUGAAUGGCAUUGUGAAUUGCAGGCAUCCGGGAAUUGAGAGCUUCUUGAAUGCAUACUGCUCCAGCUGACUUGUCAGUUGGAUAAUCUUCCUCAGGGACUAUGUACCCAUUCGAUGCUUCAUUGCUUUGUCAGCUUCAAUUUCCUUCGGGGAUUGUGGGUGAUGGUGAUGAACUCUUGCACAUCAAGCUUGUCUUAAUGUGUUGAAUUAUGAUCUUCGACUGCAAUGGUGAAUGGAGGGGUAGCGCCCAAUAUUUUCGUUGUGUGUUCGUCGAUCCAAGU